AGCGUUUCUGGGAAAUCUCAGAAACAGAAGAAACCAGUUGAAAAGAAGGAAGAACUGAUACAAGAAUCUGGAACUGAUUCUGAUUACGACGGUGAUAGUUUGUCCGGAUCUUUGAAUUCGGAUGAUUUCGACUCCGAUAUCUUCGAAUCAGAGGAUGAUGUAACACAGGGAGGAACAGAAGAAGACGGAGGAGAUGGUGAAUCAUCUCAAGACGAGCUGCUUGAUCACGAGGGCUCAAUUGAUAGUGAGGAUGGUGAUGAUGGAAGUGAGCAAAUAGAUAGUGACAAUAUUGAGGAAGAAGAUGGGAGUGAUGAAGCUUCUGAUCGAGAUGAAGCGGUUGAAGAGAGCGAUUCCUCUGAAGAUGAGGUUGCUCCUAGAAAUACAGUUGGGGAUGUUCCGUUGAAUUGGUAUAAAGAUGAGAAACAUAUUGGUUAUGACAUCACUGGGAAGAA
Molecule: non-coding RNA, 452 nt
Organism: Camelina sativa (false flax)
Lineage: Eukaryota; Viridiplantae; Streptophyta; Magnoliopsida; Brassicales; Brassicaceae
Source: RefSeq, a predicted model, not a curated record